UACGUAGGGGGCAAGCGUUUGUCCGGAAUCAUUGGGCGUAAAGCGCGUGUAGGCGGCCCGGUAAGUCCGCUGUGAAAGUCGGGGGCUCAACCCUCGAAUGCCGGUGGAUACUGUCGGGCUAGAGUGCGGGAGAGGCGAGUGGAAUUCCUGGUGUAGCGGUGAAAUGCGCAGAUAUCAGGAGGAACACCAAUUGCGAAGGCAGCUCGCUGGAACGUAACUGACGCUGGAGAACGCGAAAGCGUGGGGAGCAAACAGG
RNAcentral lists this ribosomal RNA (256 nucleotides) under uncultured bacterium. RNAcentral describes it as "partial 16S ribosomal RNA". It matches the Rfam family "Bacterial small subunit ribosomal RNA", at positions 524 to 776 of the family's 1533-position model. The record is from RNAcentral.